RNAcentral lists this ribosomal RNA (433 nucleotides) under uncultured bacterium. RNAcentral describes it as "partial 16S ribosomal RNA". It matches the Rfam family "Bacterial small subunit ribosomal RNA", at positions 29 to 507 of the family's 1533-position model. The record is from RNAcentral.
AACGAACGCUGGCGGCAUGCCUAACACAUGCAAGUCGAACGAGACCUUCGGGUCUAGUGGCGCACGGGUGCGUAACGCGGGGGAACCUGCCCUUAGGUUCGGAAUAACUCCCCUAAAGGGGUGCUAAUACAGGAUAAUGUCUUCGGACCAAAGAUUUAUCGCCUUUGGAUGGGCCCGGGUUGGAUUAGCUAGUUGGUAGGGUAAAAGCCUACCAAGGCGACGAUCCAUAGCUGGUCUGAGAGGAUGAUCAGCCACACUGGGACUGAGACACGGCCCAGACUCCUACGGGAGGCAGCAGUGGGGAAUAUUGGACAAUGGGCGAAAGCCUGAUCCAGCAAUGCCGCGUGAGUGAUGAAGGCCUCAGGGUUGUAAAGCUCUUUUACCCGGGAUGAUAAUGACAGUACCGGGAGAAUAAGCUCCGGCUAACUCCGUG